GGGGGCGAUUGGCUUCGACGGGACUGGUGAAGCUGUGGGCGCGUGCCGAGGUCCUCGGGAACCUCGUUAAACACUCGGGAAAACACCAACUGCGAACAACAACUUCGCUCUUGCCGCUUAACUUUUAGUUAAGCCCGCAGGUGCCCACAGGGAAGCCCGCCCGGGGCGGCUCAGUGGGUAACGCAAAUCUGGGCUAGUCCGGCGGUGCGCCUUCCGCCAUCGGAUGAAAGCUUGAAGGAUUACCCAGCGGUGGGCUGCCCACUGGCCAGCCGACGGGGACAUCAAUCAGCGGGAUACGCACGUAGUGCCUGUGGUCGAUCUAGCUUCGGACCGGGGUUCGAUUCCCCGCGCCUCCAUUA
This 359-nucleotide transfer-messenger RNA is filed under the name Gemmatimonadaceae bacterium. It matches the Rfam family "transfer-messenger RNA". From Rfam's summary of the family: Bacterial tmRNA, also known as 10Sa RNA or SsrA, is named for its dual tRNA and mRNA-like properties. Its role is to liberate the mRNA from a stalled ribosome. To accomplish this part of the tmRNA is used as a reading frame that ends in a translation stop signal. Lineage: Bacteria; Pseudomonadati; Gemmatimonadota; Gemmatimonadia; Gemmatimonadales; Gemmatimonadaceae. The record is from RNAcentral.